AUUGAACGCUGGCGGCAGGCCUAACACAUGCAAGUCGAACGAGUGGCGGACGGGUGAGUAAUGUCUGGGAAACUGCCUGACGGCGGGGGAUAACUACUGGAAACGGUAGCGAAUACCACAUCCCAUCGGAUGUGACAAGAUGGGAGUGGCUAGUAGAUGGGGUAAAGGCUCACCUAGGCGACGAUCCCUAGCUGGUCUGAGAGGAUGACCAGCAACACUGGAACUGCGACACGGUCCAUACUCCUACGGGAGGCAGCAGUGGGGAAUAUUGCACAAUUGUCGCAAGCCUGAUUCAGCCAUUCCGCGUGUAUGAAGACGGCCUUCGGGUUGUAAAGUACUUUCAGCGGGGAGGCGUUACCCGCAGAAGAAGCACCUGCUAACUCCGUGCCAGCCGCCGCGGUAAUAC
This 406-nucleotide ribosomal RNA is filed under the name uncultured bacterium. RNAcentral's name for it is "partial 16S ribosomal RNA". It matches the Rfam family "Bacterial small subunit ribosomal RNA", at positions 30 to 526 of the family's 1533-position model. The record is from RNAcentral.